GCCAGACUCCUACGGGAGGCAGCAGUGAGGAAUAUUGGUCAAUGGGCGAGAGCCUGAACCAGCCAAGUCGCGUGAGGGAGUACUGCCCUAUGGGUUGUAAACCUCUUUUGUCGGGGAGCAAAAGCCGGACGUGUCCGGCUGUGAGAGUACCCGAAGAAAAAGCAUCGGCUAACUCCGUGCCAGCAGCCGCGGUAAUACGGAGGAUGCGAGCGUUAUCCGGAUUUAUUGGGUUUAAAGGGUGCGCAGGCGGAUUUUUAAGUCAGCGGUAAAAUCGUGGGGCUCAACCCCGGCCGGCCGUUGAAACUGGCUGUCUUGAGAUGUCGAGAGGUAUGCGGAAUGCGCAGUGUAGCGGUGAAAUGCUUAGAUAUUGCGCAGAACUCCGAUUGCGAAGGCAGCAUACCGGCGGCGAUCUGACGCUGAGGCACGAAAGCGUGGGUAUCGAACAGGAUUAGAUACCCGGGUAC
Molecule: ribosomal RNA, 464 nt
Filed under: uncultured bacterium
Lineage: Bacteria
Description: bacterial SSU rRNA
Rfam family: Bacterial small subunit ribosomal RNA
Source: RNAcentral